Long non-coding RNA from Oryzias melastigma (Indian medaka), 1416 nucleotides. RefSeq lists it as uncharacterized. NCBI's taxonomy places the organism in Eukaryota, Metazoa, Chordata, Actinopteri, Beloniformes, Adrianichthyidae. The record is from RefSeq and is a predicted model, not a curated record. The transcript has 2 exons.
AAAAACUACAUUUAUCUGAAAACAGAUGAAGACAGGAAGAUUUCUCCUGGAACUUUCCUCCACGUUUAUGCCUAGAUUUCUCAGAUUCAUAUCUGAGCACGAAUGACUUAAAGGGCGGAGCCAAAAGUCACCUGAUCAAAUAAAACUUUAUUUAAAAAAGAAAAAAAGCAGCUUUUAUGGUUUAGGUAACCCAAAGAGAUUAACAAUUAAAGACUAAACAAACGUAACAAUAAAAUUAAAUAAAACCUUUGCUGCAGACGUCAGAAAGAAGCAAUUAUCUUAAUCAUUUUAACGCAUGGACGUUUAAACUUAAUGCUGGAGGUCAGGAGAGAGUUCACUUCCAGCUGUUCAGCUUCUGUGCUUCCGUAAACGAUCUCACUGACUGUAGAAACUGACCAGCUGACUGUGGGUCACAUGACCUGUGUGUGUCCAGCCCUGCGGACCAAUCCUGAAGAGUCAUCUGUCGUUUCCCAUCAAGCUCAGGAUCGGGAUCAUUUCUGCUUUUGCCACCAUCACGAUAACGGCCAUUAUUCUGUGUCUGAGUUUGGGUCUGGAAAAAUACUGGAAGAAGCCGCCAGUGGAAAUGACAAUCGACGACUUCAACCGAGUGAAGUACCAACCCAAACCCUCCCUCACCUGACCUCUGACCUCUGAAGGCUUCUCUUUCUGGAAACAACCAUCGGCCGUCCAGCUGCUGGGAAACGUCCGAGGCUCUUCGUCGUUGUUUUUACAUCACCGGCCACUAGAUGGCAGUAGAGGUUGUCUUUGCGUGUCCCUCUUCACUUCCUUCUCACAGCAGCUUCAUGUUCCUCUUCUGUCUUCAUCUCAGAGGAAACCAGAACCAGGGGCCUCCUCUUUUGGGGUUUUUCCUCUUUUCGGACAAACGUUUGCAAUACAAACAUUGACAAAGAUAAAAAAAAGAAAAUAUGGAAAUAAAGAAACGGUUGUCAGAGGAAGUCCGCGGUCUGUGAAAGAAAGAUGAGGUGUGAAGAUGGAACGGCGUGUUGCGUAAAGUCCCAAAAACAAUCAGGUUGAGGUUGCAAAGCAGAGCUAGGUGUGAUCCGGAGGUUCAUCACGUUCCGUCGUCUCUCCUCUUUGGUGGUGAUGGUUUUCACACGUUUAAAUCGCAUGAAGUCAGCAGAAUGUGAACGCAUUUGUUUAUGGAGGAAACAGAAAAUCCUGGAUUUCAUUUAUCUCCAGAAAUACAAACAUGCUCUCAGGUUUGAUGCUUUGAUACCAUCCUGAUGCAUCAACUCACUAAGUAGAUCAUCAGAAAUCAAAGAAUUGAAACAACAGGAAACCACAAAAGGUCAGUGGUCCAAUUCAGACAAAAUCCUUAAAGCCAAACUUUAUGUAACUGUGUUUAAUGUAUUUAUGUGUGACCAAAAGAUUAAAUAAAAUCAUUUAAAAUCCUGA